UACGAAGGGGGCGAGCGUUGUUCGGAAUUACUGGGCGUAAAGGGCGCGUAGGUGGCCUUCUAAGUUGAACGUGAAAUCCCUGGGCUCAACCCAGGAACUGCGUCCAAGACUGGGAGGCUUGAAUCCGGGAGAGGGAUGCGGAAUUCCAGGUGUAGCGGUGAAAUGCGUAGAUAUCUGGAGGAACACCGGUGGCGAAGGCGGCAUCCUGGACCGGUAUUGACACUGAGGCGCGAAAGCCAGGGGAGCAAACGGG
Molecule: ribosomal RNA, 253 nt
Filed under: uncultured bacterium
Lineage: Bacteria
Description: partial 16S ribosomal RNA
Rfam family: Bacterial small subunit ribosomal RNA
Source: RNAcentral